GGGAGGGUGCAAGCGUUGUUCGGAAUCAUUGGGCGUAAAGCGCGUGUAGGCGGUUAUCUAAGUCUGGUGUGAAAGCCCGGGGCUUAACUCCGGAAGUGCACUGGAUACUGGAUAACUAGAGGACGAGAGAGGUGAGUGGAAUUCCUGGUGUAGGGGUGAAAUCCGUAGAUAUCAGGAGGAACAUCAGCGGCGAAGGCGGCUCACUGGCUCGUAACUGACGCUGAGACGCGAAAGCGUGGGGGAGCAAACAGGAUUAGAUACCCUGGUAGUCCACGCCCUAAACGAUGGAUACUAGUCGUCGGGAUUCCUAAUUGUCUCGGUUGACGACGCUAACGCAUUAAGUAUCCCGCCUGGGAUUACGGUGCAAGACUA
This 372-nucleotide ribosomal RNA is filed under the name uncultured organism. RNAcentral's name for it is "partial 16S ribosomal RNA". It matches the Rfam family "Bacterial small subunit ribosomal RNA", at positions 526 to 896 of the family's 1533-position model. The record is from RNAcentral.